RNAcentral lists this ribosomal RNA (490 nucleotides) under uncultured bacterium. Its description in RNAcentral is "bacterial SSU rRNA". It matches the Rfam family "Bacterial small subunit ribosomal RNA", at positions 802 to 1298 of the family's 1533-position model. The record is from RNAcentral.
GUAAACGAUGAAUACUCGCUGUUUGCGAUAUACAGUAAGCGGCCAAGCGAAAGCGUUAAGUAUUCCACCUGGGGAGUACGCCGGCAACGGUGAAACUCAAAGGAAUUGACGGGGGCCCGCACAAGCGGAGGAACAUGUGGUUUAAUUCGAUGAUACGCGAGGAACCUUACCCGGGCUUGAAUUGCACUCGAAUAUGGUUGAAAGAUCAUAGCCGCAAGGCGAGUGUGAAGGUGCUGCAUGGUUGUCGUCAGCUCGUGCCGUGAGGUGUCGGCUUAAGUGCCAUAACGAGCGCAACCCUUAUUUCCAGUUACCAUCGGGUCAUGCCGGGGACUCUGGAAAGACUGCCGUCGUAAGAUGUGAGGAAGGUGGGGAUGACGUCAAAUCAGCACGGCCCUUACGUCCGGGGCUACACACGUGUUACAAUGGGUGGUACAGAAGGCAGCUACACGGCAACGUGAUGCUAAUCCCAAAAACCACUCUCAGUUCGGAU